CCUACGGGAGGCAGCAGUGGGGAAUAUUGGACAAUGGGGGCAACCCUGAUCCAGCCAUGCCGCGUGUGUGAAGAAGGCCCUCGGGUUGUAAAGCACUUUCAGUGAGGAAGAACGCCUGGUAGUUAAUACCCAUCAGGAAAGACAUCACUCACAGAAGAAGCACCGGCUAACUCCGUGCCAGCAACCGCGGUAAUACGGAGGGUGCGAGCGUUAAUCGGAAUUACUGGGCGUAAAGCGCGCGUAGGUGGCUUGAUAAGCCGGUUGUGAAAGCCCCGGGCUCAACCUGGGAACGGCAUCCGGAACUGUCAAGCUAGAGUGCAGGAGAGGAAGGUAGAAUUCCCGGUGUAGCGGUGAAAUGCGUAGAGAUCGGGAGGAAUACCAGUGGCGAAGGCGGCCUUCUGGACUGACACUGACACUGAGGUGCGAAAGCGUGGGUAGCAAACAGGAUUAGAUACCCCGGUAGUC
Molecule: ribosomal RNA, 465 nt
Filed under: Vreelandella stevensii
Lineage: Bacteria; Pseudomonadati; Pseudomonadota; Gammaproteobacteria; Oceanospirillales; Halomonadaceae
Description: partial 16S ribosomal RNA
Rfam family: Bacterial small subunit ribosomal RNA
Source: RNAcentral